RNAcentral lists this transfer RNA (68 nucleotides) under Marmota monax (woodchuck). RNAcentral describes it as "tRNA.Ala". The record is from RNAcentral. Lineage: Eukaryota; Metazoa; Chordata; Mammalia; Rodentia; Sciuridae.
GUUGUGGCUCAGUGGUAGAGCGCUUGCCUAGCAUGCCUGGGACACUGAGUUUGAUCCCCAGCACAACG